This 492-nucleotide ribosomal RNA is filed under the name uncultured bacterium. RNAcentral describes it as "partial 16S ribosomal RNA". It matches the Rfam family "Bacterial small subunit ribosomal RNA", at positions 29 to 507 of the family's 1533-position model. The record is from RNAcentral.
AGUGAACGCUGGCGGUAGGCCUAACACAUGCAAGUCGAACGGCAGCACAGUAAGAGCUUGCUCUUACGGGUGGCGAGUGGCGGACGGGUGAGGAAUACAUCGGAAUCUACUUUUUCGUGGGGGAUAACGUAGGGAAACUUACGCUAAUACCGCAUACGACCUACGGGUGAAAGCAGGGGAUCUUCGGACCUUGCGCGAUUGAAUGAGCCGAUGUCGGAUUAGCUAGUUGGCGGGGUACAGGCCCACCAAGGCGACGAUCCGUAGCUGGUCUGAGAGGAUGAUCAGCCACACUGGAACUGAGACACGGUCCAGACUCCUACGGGAGGCAGCAGUGGGGAAUAUUGGACAAUGGGGGGAAUACUGAUCCAGGCAUACCGCGUGGGUGAAGAAGGCCUUCGGGUUGGAAAGCCGUUUUGUUGGGAAAGAAAAGCAGCAGGUUAAUACCCCGCUGUUCUGACGGUACCCAAAGAAUAAGCACCGGCUAACUUCGUG